GAUGAAGAACGUAGCAAAAUGCGAUACUUGGUGUGAAUUGCAGAAUCCCGUGAACCAUCGAGUUUUUGAACGCAAGUUGCGCCCGAAGCCUUUUGGCCGAGGGCACGUCUGCCUGGGCGUCACGCAUCGCGUCGCCCCCCACAAUUCUCCGUAAAGGGAACGUGUGUUUUGGGGGCGGAUAUUGGUCUCCCGUGCUCAUGGCGUGGUUGGCCGAAAUAGGAGUCCUUUCGAUGGACGCACGAACUAGUGGUGGUCGUAAAAACCCUCGUAUUUUGUUUCGUGCUGUUGCUCGCAAGGUAAACUCUUUAAAAACCCCAAUGUGUCGUCUCUUGACGACGCUUCGACCGCGACCCCAGGUCAGGCGGGACUACCCGCUGAGUUUAAGCAUAUCAAUAAGCGGAGGA
This 404-nucleotide unclassified non-coding RNA is filed under the name soil metagenome. RNAcentral describes it as "partial contains 5.8S ribosomal RNA, internal transcribed spacer 2, and large subunit ribosomal RNA". The stretch from base 1 to 122 matches the Rfam family "5.8S ribosomal RNA", at positions 35 to 154 of the family's 154-position model. The record is from RNAcentral.